This is a long non-coding RNA of Mytilus californianus (California mussel), 2361 nucleotides long. RefSeq lists it as uncharacterized. The transcript is spliced from 2 exons. The record is from RefSeq and is a predicted model, not a curated record. NCBI's taxonomy places the organism in Eukaryota, Metazoa, Mollusca, Bivalvia, Mytilida, Mytilidae.
UUAUUUGAAGAGAAGUCUUGUUAUGUAUAUGCCCUCUGUAGUUUGUUUUUAUUUGCAGAAAAAUAUUAUAAUAUAUUUGGGAAAUGCAUAUGCUUGCUAAAACCAUCGGUUAUCCCCCCUUUGGCCUUUGUUUACAUUUACCUUGAGCUCUUACCUUACCGGAACACCAGAGCUGGAAAAUGCCAUACAAACUGCUAUGAGAAAAAUUUAAAUCAUGAGCAUGAUGAUUUAAAAGUACAUGUAGGAAUAGACUUGAUAUGAAAGUAAAAGAUACCUACAUGUACUUAUGAAGAAGAUAUACAAGUUGCAGAAAAAAGAUCAGAGAAGAAGUUAAAUUCUUUUGCAGAAAAACUGAUGAAAAAAGCUAGAGAAAGCAAAAAGGACAGUUCAUAUCAUCAUUUCAGAGAAAGUUGUGUUUCCUCUUCAUCAUUGUUUUACGCUUGAUUCUGCAAUAUAAUUAAUCAUUUGAAUCAAAUUCGGCAAGAUACAAAAGAUCUCCUUAUAUUUACUUUGUUUGCAAUCAGUAUGUUAAAUAAAACAAGAAUGUAUAGAAAAAGGAAAAGUAAAAGAAAUACUUCAGAUGGGACAAAACAGAUCAAAGGGCAAGACAGUUUACAGACAAAGAAUGGCAAGAACAAACUUUCCAGAAAAAGGAAAGAAGACAUUCGGAAAGAAAAAACUAUUAAUAUAAAUUUUAGAAAAUCUGCAAAUGAAACAUUGAAGUGUGAUACCUGUAAUAAGACGUUUAAAACAAAAGGAUCUCUUUCAAAACAUGCUAAAAUACACAUGGGUGUAAAGGCGUACAUCUGUGUUAGAUGUGGAAAAGCGUUUGGCCGUCUAGAUGUUUUACGACGCCACUUAUUGAUUCACACAUCUGUUAAACCUUACCUUUGCCAUACAUGUGGCAAAGGGUUCUGUGAAAGUGGGGCACUUGUAAAACAUGAGCGAAUACAUUUAAAUGAGAAGCCUUAUUCGUGUGAUGUAUGUCAAAAAAGUUUUAGUCAGCGAAGUAAUUUAAAUUCACACAAACGAAUUCAUACUGGAGAGAAACCAUUUGGAUGUGAUGUAUGUGGUAAAUGUUUUAAUAAGAGUAAUACCUUGAGUCAACAUAUAAAGACGCACACUGGAGACAAGCAGUUCAUAUGUUCUUUUUGUAGUAAACGUUUUGUGCAACGGAUUCAGUUACAGAUGCAUGAAAGAAUUCAUAAAAAGGAAAAACCGCAUGCAUGCUCCCUAUGUCAUCGACAAUUUUGUCAGAUGAAUCAGCUACAAAGACACGAAAGGUCAAAGUGCAAGAAAAUAAAAUUAUCUGUUGGUACUCAAACGGUCAAAACAGAACAAACUGCGGAAAACCUAGAUAUAACCAGCAUUGAUGAUGAUGAUGAUGAUGAUGAUGAAACAAUGUCUUAUUCAGAUAUGUAAUAAAACCAGAUAUGAUAUCAAUUAUUUUUAUAACACCAUAGAUAAGUUAGAUUCAUGAUAAUUGUAAUGAUUGACCAAUGGUCUUUUGAUGAGAAUGCAAUAGGAUAUGUAUUUUUAUUCAUGUUAUACAAAAGAAAAAAAAAUGUAGAAUCAUUGUACCAGUAAGAGAUUUUCGAAAAGGGCAUUAAAAUUUGAAAUGACAGGAAUAAAUUGUGCCAAUUUCAGAAAGCAGACAGAGUUGAUAAUAUUGAUAAUGUGAACACAGGUUAUGGUCUAACACUAUUCCUAUAAUUUGUUGUUUAAACUCAAAACAAUGUGAGUUUAAAUGCUUUUGAAAGGAUUCUCUUCUGUUUGUUGCUUAAAUUUUACUGUCAAUAUGUACAUAUAUACGAGAUGUACCAAACGAAGACAAUAUUUUUUUUAGUACUCAAAAGUUUUGCACCUGGUUCCCGAUUGUCUUCUGUCGUAACUUGACAUGAGUUAAACCUUGGCAAAUUGAAAAAAAAUAAAUCAAACAAAACACAGUAUUAUUGAAGGUCAUAUAUACAUGUAUGUUGACCUCUAUAGAUGUCUUUUGAUUAUAAAAAAAAAUUGUAAUGAAUUGUGUUUCUUUCUUGUUGGCGUAAACCAAAAAAUCUCCUUCUAGUUUAAGCAGUGGGAUGUUCAGGCCUUAUGCCUAUUAUAAUUCUGUGCAAUUUUCAAUUAUUAUAGCUAUUAAGAUACAAAUAUACCAAUGGACUACAAAUAAACAUUUUCAAUAGCUAUCUUCACCAAUGAGUAACAAUGAAACCUACAGGUAAAAUGUAAAGGGUAGUCUCAAAACCAGCAAUUGUAUUUACUACUUCUGUCUGAUUUGUCAUGAUUAUUUCUGUAAUAUAUACUUAGUAACUAUACCUAUAUGUUGUAAAACCUUUGUUUAAUAAGAAUUACAUGUCUGUU